CAAAGGUUUGGUCCUGACCUUACUAUCAGCUCUAACCCAACUUACACAUGCAAGUCUCCGCCUCCCCGUGAGAAUGCCCUUAAUGUCCUGUCCGGAAUUAAGGAGCAGGCAUCAGGCACAAAAUUUAGCCCACGACGCCUUGCUCAGCCACACCCCUACGGGUACUCAGCAGUGAUAAAAUUUAAGCAAUAAGUGAAAACUUGACUUAGUCAGGGAUAAGAGGGCCGGUAAAACUCGUGCCAGCCACCGCGGUUAUACGAGAGGCCCAAGUUGAUUAAAUGCGGCGUAAAGAGUGGUUAUGAAAAUUAAACAAUAAGGUCGAAUAUCCUCAGAGCAGUUAUACGCAUCCGAGGUCACGAAGCACAGUCACGAAAGUAGCCCUACUAUAAUUCUGACCCCACGAAAACCAUAGAACAAACUGGGAUUAGAUACCCCACUAUG
This 441-nucleotide ribosomal RNA is filed under the name Enchelyopus cimbrius (fourbeard rockling). RNAcentral's name for it is "partial small subunit ribosomal RNA". It matches the Rfam family "Bacterial small subunit ribosomal RNA", at positions 7 to 794 of the family's 1533-position model. Lineage: Eukaryota; Metazoa; Chordata; Actinopteri; Gadiformes; Gaidropsaridae. The record is from RNAcentral.